UUAGAUCUUAUACUGUUUAUUUAUGUUAUUAGAUCUUAUAGGAACUUUUUUUUUGUUCAAAACCCAUUCGGCAGAUCUUAAUCAUUUUCGUUGUUAUUUGUUUGUAGAUCGUUCCACAUAAUUUGCAGAUAUGCAUCCCUUGCACAACAGUCCUUCAUUUUUAAAGCUUAUUGAUGAAGAUGACCCGAUAUUUUUGGUGAAGAGCUUCUUUCAGACUCCUUCCCCU
Molecule: long non-coding RNA, 226 nt
Organism: Helianthus annuus (common sunflower)
Lineage: Eukaryota; Viridiplantae; Streptophyta; Magnoliopsida; Asterales; Asteraceae
Exons: 3
Source: RefSeq, a predicted model, not a curated record